AGGACGAACGCUGGCGGCGUGCUUAACACAUGCAAGUCGAGCGGAAAGGCCCUUCGGGGUACUCGAGCGGCGAACGGGUGAGUAACACGUGAGCAACCUGCCCUCAGCUCUGGGAUAGCUCCGGGAAACCGGAAUUAAUACCGGAUAUGACCCUGACUGACAUCGGUCAGGGUGGAAAGGAUUCCGGCUGAGGAUGGACUCGCGGCCUAUCAGCUAGUUGGUGGAGUAACGGCCCACCAAGGCGACGACGGGUAGCCGGCCUGAGAGGGCGACCGGCCACACUGGGACUGAGACACGGCCCAGACUCCUGCGGGAGGCAGCAGUGGGGGAAUAUUGCGCAAUGGGCGAAAGCCUGACGCAGCGACGCCGCGUGGGGGAUGAAUGCCUUCGGGUUGUAAACCCCUUUCAGCAGGGACGAAGCGAGAGUGACGGUACCUGCAGAAGAAGCGCCGGCUAACUACGUGCCAGCAGCCGC
RNAcentral lists this ribosomal RNA (475 nucleotides) under uncultured bacterium. Its description in RNAcentral is "SSU rRNA". It matches the Rfam family "Bacterial small subunit ribosomal RNA", at positions 26 to 518 of the family's 1533-position model. The record is from RNAcentral.